Molecule: ribosomal RNA, 253 nt
Filed under: uncultured bacterium
Lineage: Bacteria
Description: partial 16S ribosomal RNA
Rfam family: Bacterial small subunit ribosomal RNA
Source: RNAcentral
UACGUAGGGGCAAGCGUUGUCCGGAUUUAUUGGGCGUAAAGAGCGUGUAGGCGGUUAGGUAGGUCCGUUGUGAAAACUCGAGGCUCAACCUCGAGACGCCGAUGGAAACCAUCUAACUAGAGUCCGGAAGAGGAGAGUGGAAUUCCUGGUGUAGCGGUGGAAUGCGCAGAUAUCAGGAGGAACACCGGUGGCGAAGGCGGGUCUCUGGGCAGUGAACUGACGCUGAGGAGCGAAAGCGUGGGGAGCGAACAGG